UCGACCCCAUCCCACAUCCCCCCACUUUGCGCCCGGCGUAGACGGUGCGAAACGGAGGAUGCAAGCUGAUGGCGGCAAUGGAAUCUAAAAGGCGGCGAUGGAGUGGAAGCGAACGGAGCAAGGCAGAAAUCGACGAGCAUGUUUUGGAACGAGUCGAAAAUUAACUUGAAACCUCAAUCUGGAGAGGGAGAGUCCGAGAUGCCUUCGAUUGCAGCUUAGAGAGAGCUUGAGGAUAGUGAUGGUGGAGACGGUGAGCUUGAGAGAAGAAAAUAAAAUGAAGAUGGACAGAGAGAUGAAGAUCACCUUCCCCUUCCCACCACGUCGCCUAUCUUUGAAAGGAUCGUCCUUCAUUGUUUAGCCGCCACCACGACGGUCGAACUUGACCACUGGAGUUUCCUGGUCAUUGAAUGUGCUUAGUCCUCUGAGCAGAAGGUGUUCAGUGAAUUGCGCAAUAGAGAAACAGAGGGUGAGACGAUUUUGAAACAACAAACAGAGGAAGAUACGCCUAGAGAAAUCUUUAUAGUUCCUCACGACAUUCAGGCGAUGACGUAAUUCGUCGAUCAACAGUCACGCUUACCAGGUCAUUUCCAUCUCCGAUUGAACUCUAGAAUUCAUUUCGAUACAUUCCAACUUUGUCUUUUGAUUUAUGUUUCGCUUUUGUUUUCUCCCAUCCUCUUGCCGUCUUCCAGAAAUUUCGGAAUUGCUGUCAGUUGCACUGUGGAGGAGGUAUCGAGCUCGCAAGGAAGGUGUUCCAUGGAAUGACGAAGCUGGUUUCAAAGAAUACCUGUUCAAGAGGCACAGUAAAUCAGCGAGCUUAACCUGGUGGUGGGAGCCAGUUCAACUUCGAGAGCGCAAGAUUCUAAGACGAAAAGCCACUGCCGGAGGCAGCUCAGAUGCUGUGUCGUCAAGAGAGAGGUUGUGGAAGAGUUGUUGUCGCAGGGACAUGGUUACAGAGUUAUGCUACCGCAGCGAACGAGACUGACUGUGAGAGAGGAUCUGAAUACAGCGCUGGAUGAGGAUAUGCCUGCAGAUCCAGAAGUCAAGUCUUUCUAAUGGGUGAGGAGGUGGCCGGAGAAUACCAAGGAGCCUACAAGGUGUCUUAAAGGUUCUUUUUUUUUUUCUGGAGAAGUAUGGACCUGAGAGGGUUGUUGAUACUCCAAUCACAGAGGCUGGUUUCGCUGGAGUUGUAGUCGGCGCUGCUUUCUGUGGUCUCAGGCCUGUCGUGGAGUUCAUGACAUUCAAUUUCGCUAUGCCGGCAUCCCCAUCCCACCGGGAGGAAGCUUUACUGAUUCGGCCUCGUUAAAUUGCUCAUCGCCCUCAGGAUCUAUUGGACACGAGAAUCGUCCAUCGCUGUACGAAAUGAGAGUUGCUCAUGAACUGUGUAACAUCUCGGGUACUAUCACUGCGGUGUCAACAUAAGCACAGAAAAAUGAGGUAUACAUGACACAUAUGCUCAAUAUAAUGUCGUAGGCGCAGGAUGGGACCAUUGUUAUUACUCUGAUUAACUCAGCUUGUAAUGUUUGGUAUUAGCCUCAGAAAGCUUCAUGUCUCCUUCGUCCUUUCCCUGCCUUCUUUUGUCUGAAAGGGUAAGCAAUCAUUCGAAAAAUCUGGACAUGAUCGUCUUGUUUCAAAGUUGUAAUUGCUUUUGCUAUUCAAUGACACUCUUUGCCCUCAUAAACUUUGAUCGGCGACCUAUUGUUGCGUAGCUUAACCGUUGUUCUCUAAA
Molecule: long non-coding RNA, 1726 nt
Organism: Syzygium oleosum
Lineage: Eukaryota; Viridiplantae; Streptophyta; Magnoliopsida; Myrtales; Myrtaceae
Exons: 2
Source: RefSeq, a predicted model, not a curated record